RNAcentral lists this ribosomal RNA (115 nucleotides) under Cordylochernes scorpioides. Lineage: Eukaryota; Metazoa; Arthropoda; Arachnida; Pseudoscorpiones; Chernetidae. The record is from RNAcentral.
ACGGCCAUACCACAUUGAAAACACCGGUUCUCGUCCGAUCACCGAAGUUAAGCAAUGUCGGGCCCGGUUAGUACUUGGGAGGGUGACCACCUGGGAACACCGGGUGCUGUAGGCU